This 476-nucleotide ribosomal RNA is filed under the name uncultured bacterium. Its description in RNAcentral is "partial 16S ribosomal RNA". It matches the Rfam family "Bacterial small subunit ribosomal RNA", at positions 29 to 523 of the family's 1533-position model. The record is from RNAcentral.
AGUGAACGCUGGCGGCGUGCUUAACACAUGCAAGUCGAACGGACGAAAUAAGCUUGCUUAUUUCGUUAGUGGCGCACGGGUGAGUAAUGUAUAGCUAACCUGCCCUUUAGUGGGGGACAACAGUUGGAAACGACUGCUAAUACCCCAUACUCCUUCUUAUCAUAAGGUAAGUCGGGAAAGAUUUAUUGCUAAAGGAUGGGGCUUUAUUGUAUCAGCUUGUUGGUGGGGUAAUGGCCUACCAAGGCGAUGACGCAUACCUGGUCUGAGAGGAUGAUCAGGCACACUGGAACUGAGACACGGUCCAGACUCCUACGGGAGGCAGCAGUGGGGAAUAUUGCACAAUGGGGGAAACCCUGAUGCAGCAACGCCGCGUGGAGGAUGACGCAUUUCGGUGUGUAAACUCCAUUUAUAAGGGAAGAUAAUGACGGUACCUUAUGAAUAAGCACCGGCUAACUCCGUGCCAGCAGCCGCGGUAA